GGGCAGCAGUGGGAGCUGGAUUUGCCUGUGGUGCUUCGAACCCCCACCCCUACCCCGAGCACAGCAGGACCCAGGGACUCCAUGGACAAAAAGCAAUGACUUCCAGGUCCUGCCAUGGACGAUUCAAGCUGCUGAGGAAAAGAAACCAGCUGGAGCAGCCAGCAAACGCUGAACCUGUUGGGAAACGCUGGCCUGGCUUUGGCGCUGGCAGCAGCAGAGGACAAGGACUGCGCCAUAAAAGAGCUGCAGACGCGGCACCCGCAUCCCCUGGUCCCAGGCUGCACCGUCCUCCCACCAACAGCACGAUGCUGGGGAUGUGGUGGCCCACACUGGUGUCCCUGCUGGUCCCCGCAGUGGUGGCCCAGCUGCACCCCAAGCGGGAGCUGGACACCCAGUGGGACCUAUGGAAGAAAACCUAUCGCAAGCAGUACAACGGUGAGGCGGAUGAGGUGGCGCGGAGGCUGAUCUGGGAGAAGAACCUCAAGUACAUCAACACCCACAACCUGGAGCAUGCGCUGGGCGUCCACACCUUCGAGCUGGCCAUGAACCACCUGGGCGACAUGACCAGCGAGGAGGUGGUGAGGACGAUGACAGGCUUGAAGGUGCCCCGUGGCCACCCACAUCGCAACAAGACACUCUACAUCCCUGACUGGACCGAGAGAGCCCCGGCUUCUGUGGACUGGAGGAGGAAAGGCUACGUGACACCUGUCAAGAACCAGGGCCAGUGUGGCUCGUGCUGGGCUUUCAGCUCAGUGGGCGCGCUGGAGGGGCAGCUGAAGCGGAAGACGGGGAAGCUCCUCUCCCUCAGCCCCCAAAACCUGGUGGAUUGCGUGGCCAACAACGACGGUUGUGGUGGCGGCUACAUGACCAAUGCCUUUGAGUACGUCCGGCAGAACCGCGGCAUCGACUCGGAGGAUGCCUACCCUUACAUCGGCCAGGAUGAGAGCUGCAUGUACAGCCCCACUGGGAAGGCAGCCAAGUGCCGCGGCUACCGGGAAAUCCCUGAAGGGAACGAGAAGGCUUUGAAGAGGGCUGUGGCCAGAAUCGGACCCGUCUCUGUGGGCAUUGAUGCCAGCCUGCCCUCCUUCCAGUUCUACAGCCGCGGCGUGUACUACGAUGAGAGCUGCAAUGCCGAAAACAUCAACCAUGCAGUGCUGGCGGUGGGCUAUGGCACACAGAAGGGCACCAAGCACUGGAUCAUCAAGAACAGCUGGGGUGAGGAGUGGGGCAACAAGGGCUAUGUCCUCCUGGCACGCAACAUGAACAACGCCUGCGGCAUUGCCAACCUCGCCAGCUUCCCCAAGAUGUGAGCGUUCCCAGCGCAUUCCCUUCCUGCGUCAUAUCCAGCCACCCUCCUGCUUCCUUGUUUUCAAACUUGGCCUUUUCACUCUCAGUCUCUGAAGCUGAUGUCACUGCAGGGGGGAUCUCUGCCUCUCCAUGAGAAAUCUCCCUCAGAAGAGGGGCGAGACCCCCCGGCUGCAGACAUGGGAGGUGAAUGGCCUGGCUGGCUGAUGGAGAGGACAAGGGGUGCUGGUUAACUCAUCCGGGCCUGUCAGGAUGCACCAUCAGGGUUGUGUGAAACCAGAACGACGCUGUGAAAAGAAAGUGAAAUCAGAGCAUUUCCUCAUUCACCAGCUCCCAGCUGCAGCAAGCGGAGGGAUCUCCGUGCUGUCCCAGGUCCCUUGCGCCCAUCCUGAGGCUGAGCCGGGCUCUGUGGGAAGCUGCACCGUGGCCAGGCAGGCAGUGUGUCCCCCUUGACUGCUACUUUUCCUCGAGAGCUGCUGCAGUGGUGGAGAUGGAAAGUAGGCAGGGGAAAUACUUGGGGAAACGUGAAGCUUCCUUAGAAGAGGCUUUCUUGGUGGGGUCAGAGUGGCACUGCAGAAAGAGGAAGGGGACCGACGUGCAACAUGGGAGAGGAACCUGCAACUGGUGACACUGCACAAUCUGGAGCACUCCCUGGGGCUGCACUCCUAUGAGCUGGGCAUGAA
Molecule: RNA transcript, 1988 nt
Organism: Aquila chrysaetos chrysaetos
Lineage: Eukaryota; Metazoa; Chordata; Aves; Accipitriformes; Accipitridae
Gene: CTSK
Gene name: cathepsin K
Exons: 13
Source: RefSeq, a predicted model, not a curated record